Molecule: ribosomal RNA, 352 nt
Filed under: uncultured Desulfocapsa sp.
Lineage: Bacteria; Pseudomonadati; Thermodesulfobacteriota; Desulfobulbia; Desulfobulbales; Desulfocapsaceae
Description: bacterial SSU rRNA
Rfam family: Bacterial small subunit ribosomal RNA
Source: RNAcentral
UGGAGACAGGUGCUGCGAUGGCUGUCGUCAGCUCGUGUCGUGAGAUGUUGGUUAAGUCCCGCAACGAGCGCAACCCUUGUCUUUAGUUGCCAUCAUUCAGUUGGGCACUCUAAAGAGACUGCCGGUGUCAAACCGGAGGAAGGUGGGGAUGACGUCAAGUCCUCAUGGCCUUUAUGACCAGGGCUACACACGUACUACAAUGGCCGGUACAAAGGGCAGCCACUUAGCGAUAAGGAGCCAAUCCCGUAAAGCCGGUCUCAGUCCGGAUUGGAGUCUGCAACUCGACUCCAUGAAGUUGGAAUCGCUAGUAAUCGCAGAUCAGCACGCUGCGGUGAAUACGUUCCCGGGCCUU